Molecule: ribosomal RNA, 235 nt
Filed under: uncultured bacterium
Lineage: Bacteria
Description: partial 16S ribosomal RNA
Rfam family: Bacterial small subunit ribosomal RNA
Source: RNAcentral
CGGCGAACGGGUGAGUAAUGCUUCGGAAUCUACCUUAUGGUGGGGAAUAACUAGCCGAAAGGUUAGCUAAUACCGCAUACGUCCUACGGGAGAAAGCAGGGGAUCGUAAGACCUUGCGCCAAAAGAUGAGCCGAAGUCGGAUUAGCUAGUUGGUAGGGUAACGGCCUACCAAGGCGACGAUCCGUAGCUGGUCUGAGAGGACGAUCAGCCACACUGGGACUGAGACACGGCCCAG